AGUGAACGCUGGCGGUAGGCCUAACACAUGCAAGUCGAACGGCAGCACAGUAAGAUCUUGCUCUUACGGGUGGCGAGUGGCGGGCGGGUGAGGAAUACAUCGGAAUCUACUUUUUCGUGGGGGAUAACGUAGGGAAACUUACGCUAAUACCGCAUACGACCUACGGGUGAAAGCAGGGGAUCUUCGGACCUUGCGCGAUUGAAUGAGCCGAUGUCGGAUUAGCUAGUUGGCGGGGUAAAGGCCCACCAAGGCGACGAUCCGUAGCUGGUCUGAGAGGAUGAUCCGCCACACUGGAACUGAGACACGGUCCAGACUCCUACGGGAGGCAGCAGUGGGGAAUAUUGGACAAUGGGCGCAAGCCUGAUCCAGCCAUACCGCGUGGGUGAAGAAGGCCUUCGGGUUGUAAAGCCCUUUUGUUGGGAAAGAAAAGCAGCAGGUUAAUACCCCGCUGUUCUGACGGUACCCAAAGAGUAAGCACCGGCUAACUUCGUG
Molecule: ribosomal RNA, 492 nt
Filed under: uncultured bacterium
Lineage: Bacteria
Description: partial 16S ribosomal RNA
Rfam family: Bacterial small subunit ribosomal RNA
Source: RNAcentral